RNAcentral lists this ribosomal RNA (203 nucleotides) under uncultured bacterium. RNAcentral's name for it is "partial 16S ribosomal RNA". It matches the Rfam family "Bacterial small subunit ribosomal RNA", at positions 1298 to 1500 of the family's 1533-position model. The record is from RNAcentral.
UUGUAGUCUGCAACCCGACUACAUGAAGCUGGAAUCGCUAGUAAUCGCGAAUCAGAAUGUCGCGGUGAAUACGUUCCCGGGUCUUGUACACACCGCCCGUCACACCAUGGGAGUCAGUAACGCCCGAAGUCAGUGACCCAACCGGAAGGAGGGAGCUGCCGAAGGCGGGACCGGUAACUGGGGUGAAGUCGUAACAAGGUAAC